This 274-nucleotide ribosomal RNA is filed under the name uncultured bacterium. Its description in RNAcentral is "partial 16S ribosomal RNA". It matches the Rfam family "Bacterial small subunit ribosomal RNA", at positions 523 to 796 of the family's 1533-position model. The record is from RNAcentral.
AUACGGAGGGUGCAAGCGUUGUUCGGAAUUACUGGGCGUAAAGCGCGCGUAGGCGGUCUGUUAUGUCAGAUGUGAAAGUCCUCGGCUCAACCGGGGAAGUGCAUUUGAAACCGGCAGACUUGAGUAUUGGAGGGGGUAGUGGAAUUCCCGGUGUAGAGGUGAAAUUCGUAGAUAUCGGGAGGAAUACCGGUGGCGAAGGCGACUACCUGGCCAAAUACUGACGCUGAGGUGCGAAAGCGUGGGGAGCAAACAGGAUUAGAUACCCUAGUAGUCC